This 231-nucleotide ribosomal RNA is filed under the name uncultured bacterium. Its description in RNAcentral is "partial 16S ribosomal RNA". It matches the Rfam family "Bacterial small subunit ribosomal RNA", at positions 524 to 754 of the family's 1533-position model. The record is from RNAcentral.
UACGGAGGGGGCUAGCGUUGUUCGGAAUUACUGGGCGUAAAGCGCGCGUAGGCGGACCUGCAAGUCGGGGGUGAAAGCCCGAGGCUCAACCUCGGAACUGCCUUCGAUACUGCGGGUCUCGAGUCCGGGAGAGGUGAGUGGAAUUCCUAGUGUAGAGGUGAAAUUCGUAGAUAUUAGGAAGAACACCAGUGGCGAAGGCGGCUCACUGGCCCGGUACUGACGCUGAGGCGG